AUAGUUAAAAACAACCAAGAUCUAUAAAGUUUAUUAUUUAUAAAUAGUAAAUUGCUGCUUGCAAGUUAAUCAUGUAUUCAUGGUCCAGAGUUAGAGACAAAAACAUAUCCCAAAAAUACUGCUGCAUCUAAAAGGAAAUGUUUCUUGAACAGGUAAUUACAGCUGCUUGAUUUCUUUACUGCAUAUUUUCAAAUUUCUCAGUCAGUUAAUAGUAACAGUUAAGCAUUUUUGCUCAAUUCGCAAAACACUAAGAGUAAAAUUGCCUAUUUUUUGGCCCACAUGUGUCUGCUUUCCAUUCAGCUUUUCUGUUAGUUUGGGUUGAUGUGUGGGUUUUUCUGUGAUGGAUGUAUUUUUAUGUAUGCUUGAUCUUGCAUAGAAACUCAAUAUAGCUUUACGACAUGCCAUCCAAAAAAUAUAAGUUGGUGAUAUCCUGUUCAUAACAGUAUUCUCUUCAGUAUUGAGUGAAUAAAACAACAGAAAUCGAGGAGUGAGGCAGUGAAGAGGGAUAGAGACAACACUGAAUGUAUUAACAGACCAGCAAGUUAUGGAGGGUUGUUUUUAAUCCCUUUGCCUGGUUUCAUUAGAGUGUGCUGUCAUUCGUCCUUGAUCACUGGUUGUCAUGGAGGGUAUAAGCCAAUCGGCUCUGUUCCAUUCUCCAACAUGCUGGGAUCUUAAUGGAAUGAUUCACUCAGAGAGAGACAGACAGACAGAGAGAGUGAGAGACAGUCACCGACAGAAAGGUUGCAGAACUCGCAGAACCCCUCUGGGUGACACUGAGAUAGUAAGAUGGGUGUGUGGCAUCACAGCAUGGCCUUAAUGGCCUCGACUGUUGUGAAGUGUGCAAUCAGACAGAGUUGAAUACAUUUCCUUCACGGGUCGUGAAACAAAUCUGUCCUGUGUCUCCCAGUGGUUCCUGACAUUAACCAGCUUUGAUUAUUCUGAUCUUCAAACACCAUUUAAACCAAGCUGGAGAAACAUGGACGUUUUCACACCAGACCAAGAAAACAAAUGAUACAUUUGAAGAAUACUGACCUCUAGCCUCAUCAGUGACAUCAGCACUCUGUACCUCACACAAAGCCUUUCCUAUGCAAAGGGCAGCUGCUGCACCCAUACAGAUGUCAACCUCCGUUGGACUGAUCCAAAGCCUCUGGGGUCUCAUUUAUAACCGUUGCAUAUGCACAACACCAGGCCUGAAAGAGUGAGCUAUAGACAUGCUGUAUGGUGAGCUUGACACUGAUUCCAGACCUGCAGGAAGGCCUGUUCUCCAUUACAAGGAUGUCUGUAAAUGAGACCUGACGGCAUGCGACAUCAACCCAGCAGGCCGGGAAGCUGUAGCUGCAGACUGCAACAGAUGGAGGCUCACCGUCACGUCAGGCAUCCAUAAGAGCGAAAUUGGAGAGAGGACCCGUAGGAAGAAAGAAGAGAGCGCAGACGACAAAAGACAGAAUCAGCACCCACAGAGUCAGGCACGGACUACACCUGCAGAAACUGCCGCUCUUUUUGUAUGAGCUGUACACACUUCCAAUUAACAUUGGGCCUAUCCAUCAACAAGGAGAGCCCAUUCUUAAGCAAAGUUCCUUUGUACACUCCUGCAAAUGUGAAAAAUAUAGAUGCUAUUUUAAAAAAAAAGCCAACUUCUUUCUAAUACAAGUAAAAAGGAUUUGUCUCAAUUUGGUGGUGAAGGGUUUCUGAAAUGAUUUGAAAGCCUUACGUCAAAACUUAACCAAAGAGGGACACAUCCACUACAUGUGAAGGAGUGAGGCAGGUGCACUUCUACAUUUAUCAAAUGUAGAGUCAACAUCAGGGUACAUCCGAGCUCAUUUGGUUUUAGAUAUGUGGAUACAAUGAACUACCUUAAAUUGCAAGAGUGCAUGUCAGGCGCACAUGGAGUAAGAGUGUAUCCAA
Long non-coding RNA from Thunnus maccoyii (southern bluefin tuna), 1905 nucleotides. RefSeq lists it as uncharacterized. NCBI's taxonomy places the organism in Eukaryota, Metazoa, Chordata, Actinopteri, Scombriformes, Scombridae. The record is from RefSeq and is a predicted model, not a curated record. The transcript has 3 exons.